Molecule: small nuclear RNA, 21 nt
Filed under: Arabidopsis thaliana (thale cress)
Lineage: Eukaryota; Viridiplantae; Streptophyta; Magnoliopsida; Brassicales; Brassicaceae
Description: snRNA_17687
Source: RNAcentral
AUUUAUUCUCACACCACCGCA